RNAcentral lists this unclassified non-coding RNA (213 nucleotides) under plant metagenome. RNAcentral describes it as "partial contains small subunit ribosomal RNA and internal transcribed spacer 1". The stretch from base 1 to 45 matches the Rfam family "Eukaryotic small subunit ribosomal RNA", at positions 1787 to 1831 of the family's 1831-position model. The record is from RNAcentral.
AGUCGUAACAAGGUCUCCGUAGGUGAACCUGCGGAGGGAUCAUUAAUGAGAACUUGCCCUAACGGGUAAAUCUCCCACCCUUUGUUAACCAAACAUUGUUGCUUUGUCUGGCCCGACCUCGGUCCGGCGCCUCGGCUGGCUCGAGCGGCGACAGAGGCAAGCUAAAACCGUUUAAUCAAACCUUGUCGUCAGAGUACUAUAUAAUAGUUAAAA